Molecule: long non-coding RNA, 792 nt
Filed under: Ananas comosus (pineapple)
Lineage: Eukaryota; Viridiplantae; Streptophyta; Magnoliopsida; Poales; Bromeliaceae
Description: long non-coding RNA (ACOM_LNC038134)
Source: RNAcentral
UGGCCCCUAUGCUCUUUCUACUUGUUGUAAAAUAUUUUUAAAUUCAUUUCUAUGCUAAAUGGGAUUUAUAUGAAUUUUAGAGCACUUAAAAUGCAUGCCUUGUGUAUCAUGAAAAUUUCACUAUAUAGUAGAGCUAUAUGAGUAGAAUGCAUGCAUAUGGGAAAAGUGUUUAUUUUGCAAGUAGAAAAUACAUCUCUUAUGAGAAUUAUGACUUGGAAUAUGUACCUUGGAACAUAGUUGCCAUGCUUUGACAUAGAGAACAAGAGUGUCAUCAAGGGGCACUUGAGACUAGUAAACUAUGAAACUGCAACAUAGAGACAUAUUGAUAGGCCACUCCAUAUCUGCUAUAUUCCAUGUUAGAGACAUGAUGACAUAGGGAUAGGCCAUUGAGAUACUUGACACAUUCCAUGUUUUAGACAUGAGGACUUGGUACUUGCGACAGAUCGUUUGAUUACUUGCCAUUGUGCUCAUUCGCACAUGCUUGUGAGGGUCGCUCCCUACAAGCCGACACUCCGGAGAUGGCCAUCGCGAUACAUAUUCGCCGUGCGGGAUUGGGCGCCAAAGUGGAUUGCCGUGGGCCAGGCUCAUUCCUAGGGUGGGGAUGUUGACUACCACGGGGCCAUUAGGCUCGGCACCGGCCAGACAGCCUACGGGUGGGUCUCAGGGCCAUAGACAGCCUUCGGGUGGGUCUCUUCAGAUUUGACUUUAUAUACCCAUUAUGACAUGUGGACAGAUGAGGACUUAGUGUACUACUUGGACAUUGACUAGAAUAGUAAACAAAGGAACUUUACU